RNAcentral lists this transfer RNA (111 nucleotides) under Blumeria hordei DH14. RNAcentral describes it as "Blumeria graminis f. sp. hordei DH14 tRNA". It matches the Rfam family "tRNA". Rfam says of the family: Transfer RNA (tRNA) molecules are approximately 80 nucleotides in length. Their secondary structure includes four short double-helical elements and three loops (D, anti-codon, and T loops). Further hydrogen bonds mediate the characteristic L-shaped molecular structure. tRNAs have two regions of fundamental functional importance: the anti-codon, which is responsible for specific mRNA codon recognition, and the 3' end, to which the tRNAs corresponding amino acid is attached (by aminoacyl-tRNA synthetases). tRNAs cope with the degeneracy of the genetic code in two manners: having more than one tRNA (with a specific anti-codon) for a particular amino acid; and 'wobble' base-pairing, i.e. permitting non-standard base-pairing at the 3rd anti-codon position. RNAcentral also lists the same sequence under 1 other name. Lineage: Eukaryota; Fungi; Ascomycota; Leotiomycetes; Helotiales; Erysiphaceae. The record is from Rfam by way of RNAcentral.
GUCUUCGUGGCUCAGUUGGUUAGAGCUUUGGACUCAUAUCGGCUUCGAUAAUGAGGAUAUCCAUGAUAUUCGUUUGCCCAAAGGUCGCGAGCUCGAGUCUCGCUGAGGACA